This 492-nucleotide ribosomal RNA is filed under the name uncultured bacterium. RNAcentral's name for it is "partial 16S ribosomal RNA". It matches the Rfam family "Bacterial small subunit ribosomal RNA", at positions 29 to 507 of the family's 1533-position model. The record is from RNAcentral.
AGUGAACGCUGGCGGUAGGCCUAACACAUGCGAGUCGAACGGCAGCACAGUAAAAGCUUGCUCUUACGGGUGGCGAGUGGCGGACGGGUGAGGAAUACAUCGGAAUCUACUUUUUCGUGGGGGAUAACGUAGGGAAACUUACGCUAAUACCGCAUACGACCUACGGGUGAAAGCAGGGGAUCUUCGGACCUUGCGCGAUUGAAUGAGCCGAUGUCGGAUUAGCUAGUUGGCGGGGUAAAGGCCCACCAAGGCGACGAUCCGUAGCUGGUCUGAGAGGAUGAUCAGCCACACUGGAACUGAGACACGGUCCAGACUCCUACGGGAGGCAGCAGUGGGGAAUAUUGGACAAUGGGCGCAAGCCUGAUCCAGCCAUACCGCGUGGGUGAAGAAGGCCUUCGGGUUGUAAAGCCCUUUUGUUGGGAAAGAAAAGCAGCAGGUUAAUACCCCGCUGUUCUGACGGUACCCAAAGAAUAAGCACCGGCUAACUUCGUG